CUCUACCUUGGCUGGAGUAUCCAGGCUGGCCACUGUGUUGCCUGAAGCCAUUUGCUGAGGCCAUGACAGGUGACCCAGACUUGAGGCGAGAGAGGUCCUCACUGGACAAAUCUUAAAACAUCCAGUGACCUAAGCAGCAGCAACACUGGGCAAGGAGCUAGAGGUGCCAGGCUAACUCUAAUUUCCUGAACAGAAGGCUUCAGAUGCCUCUGCAAUCUCUAGGAAUUGCUGGAACUAAUGAUCUUCCACCAAUCUUCCAUGGAACUUCAUAAAAGAGACCAGCUUACAGAUCUUCCCAAUCAAAUCAACCAUUGGUGGCACACUGUUCUUCGUGUCAUGAGGAAUUUAAGAAACAUUUCAAGCAAACUACAAUAGCCAAGCUUACCUGCAUCCUCCUCAGCAGUAGUUUUAUAAUGGGACCAGUAGAUGACAUGCCUAAGAGCAUCUUCAGUGGACACAGCAGAACCGUCCGGGUUUGCAUAAAACAGAAGCAGUGGCUGAAAAUGACAUCUGGUGCACUUGGAGACCACGUCUUUCCAUUUAGUCCCAACCUAAAAAGAUUUCAAGGUAAAUAAUCUACCGGACACUCAUUAGAUGAACUCAAAAUUAAUGAUCCUUAAAGAAAAAGGGAUAUAAAAGGUGACUGCCAUCUCCCAACUCCCAUGGAUCCAUCAAAACUAAUCCAUGAGUGACAUUCCACACACAAGGAAUUGUCAGCGUCAAAAUGGAUCAUAGGCACAAAAAUGAGAAAGUUUUUAAGUUACAAGGAACUUACUUACAAAAUCAGUGGCCUGUUUCCCCAAUACCAAAUUCAACUAGAUUAUAUAAGGAAAAAAAGUCAAAAAGUGUUACUUUGACUAUUAAAAAUAAAAACUGAGUACAUCAAA
Molecule: non-coding RNA, 887 nt
Organism: Monodelphis domestica (gray short-tailed opossum)
Lineage: Eukaryota; Metazoa; Chordata; Mammalia; Didelphimorphia; Didelphidae
Source: RefSeq, a predicted model, not a curated record